UACGGGGGGGGCAAGCGUUGUUCGGAAUUACUGGGCGUAAAGGGCUCGUAGGCGGCCAACUAAGUCAGACGUGAAAUCCCUCGGCUUAACCGGGGAACUGCGUCUGAUACUGGAUGGCUUGAGGUUGGGAGAGGGAUGCGGAAUUCCAGGUGUAGCGGUGAAAUGCGUAGAUAUCAGGAAGAACACCCGUGGCGAAGGCGGUUCUCUGGGACGGUACUGACGCUGAGACGCGAAAGCGUGGGUAGCGAAUGGG
RNAcentral lists this ribosomal RNA (253 nucleotides) under uncultured bacterium. Its description in RNAcentral is "partial 16S ribosomal RNA". It matches the Rfam family "Bacterial small subunit ribosomal RNA", at positions 524 to 776 of the family's 1533-position model. The record is from RNAcentral.